Molecule: long non-coding RNA, 6524 nt
Filed under: Nicotiana benthamiana
Lineage: Eukaryota; Viridiplantae; Streptophyta; Magnoliopsida; Solanales; Solanaceae
Description: long non-coding RNA (NBEN_LNC017390)
Source: RNAcentral
UUUGAACUAUUCAAUUCAUGUUUAUUCUCCUUUUCUUUUAGUAAUUAAGAUUAUUUUCUAAGAGUGUUGAGUAUCGGAAAAUACUUGUGUGAGCCCUUUUUUGGAGUGAUUUUGUGAGAUUGCUCUCUUGAGGUAUUUGGGAUGAAUUAGAGUUUUUACUCUAGUUUUGUACUCUCUUUUGUACUCUUGCUACUAUAAUGAAAUUACUCUUUUCUGCUUGUGGACGUAGGUCUUCUUGACCGAACCACGUUAAAUUGGUGCCUUCCUUAUAUGCUUUAAUUACUAUUAUUAUCAACUUACAUUAUCUUUGUUAUAUUGUGAUUAUAAUAUUUCUUGGCAAAAUUCUGCACUAUACCGGUUCUCGAUCCUAACAUUUCCCAUGUUUACUCAACAAUCUACUUGAUUCCUUUCAGUAGGAGUGGCAAACGGGCGGGGCGGCGGAUAAUAUGGGUUAACCAUAUUAUCCAUGACUUCUUGUAUAUGAUGACUUUUGGGAGAAGUUUUAGUCACCCUAGCUUGAGGAACCUCCAAUUUGAGAAUUUACAAAUGUAAAAGUUAGACUCAUUGACUAUUUAUAUGGUUCUUAUCCAUAUUUGACCCGUUUUUAAAAAGUUCAUUAUCCAACCUAUUUUUUAAUGGAUAAUAUGGAUGAUUAACAGUUUUCUUUGAACCAUUUUUCCAACCUUACCAGUCAUCCUUUGCCCUUUUUUUUACUCAAUAAUCUACUCGGUACUUCCAUCACAAUCAGAAACAGAAAGGUGAUCGGGGAUUAACUGGCCUUAGUCCCCUUUGUGAUGAAAAGCUGGUAGACCCUUUAUAAUAAAUAGAACUUGACUGUAAAAUUGCAGGUUCUUAUAUAUUUAAUUCAUCUCUUCUCAAAACCCAUCUUCUGUAUAGUAUUAACAAGAAGGAUUAGUUAACAAGGCGACUGGCUUUUUCUAGGUCUAGCUUACAAAUUAUUAUUCUUGAUUUGAUAUUCUCCUAGAAUCUGAUUAUUCAUUAGCAACUAAAACAGUAUCCGUGAUGUUUCUACUUUCUUGCUGUAUGGAUACAUUUUGUGUGCCAACAUAAGACUCCCUAUGCCUGUCCUUAAUCUUUCAAGACACUUUUGCCAUUAUCUUGUCGAAAGUUUCUAAGAGACUAAUUGGUCUAAAGUCUCUUAGUAUUAUUGCAUUCAUCUUCUUAGAUAUCCAGGAUAUAAAAGUAGCAUUCCACCUUAUCAAAAAAAAAAAGGAAGAAGAAACAGCAUUCAAUUUCUAUAAAGCACUGGAAAGUGUUCAUCAAGUCUUCUUUCAAGAUUCUUAUCCCCAAAUAAAAAGGGUUUUCUUAUGAGAUUGGCUAACAUCUUUUGGAGAAUAAAAAGCCGUCGUAUAGCCAUCAGGAAUAGGGGUUUAUUCCCUGCACAUCUUAGGUAUUGGGAGUAGGAUAACUACUGUGUUGCGUGCAAAAUCAAGCUCCAUACCGUUGAGUUUAUAAAUCGAACAAAAGGACUCAUAUAUAUCAUUAUUUGAGAGCACAUAUUGGCCGGCAGUGUCCCAUGAGGUCUUCAGCAACAUUAUUUAGCAUGGUGGAAAGCUAGAGAGAAUAAAUUCUAAACUAUGUCAUACCAAUAAUCUAAUAUAGCUCAUCCUUGAAAAGAUAUUAGGAUGUUGCCUUGAAAUGAGGAAAUGACUUAAGAGAAAGAGAAAGCAGCAAACGCAGACAAAGUGUCCGUAGGUAGCAUGAAAAGUUUCUAUCGUUAAAAGCAGCACAACUUUACCUCUUUUGUUCUUGUGAAUUUAGGGACAUUUGCUACUUGAAGUUAGUUAACAUUUUCUUAGUGAAAUAUGCCAGUGCUCAUGUUUUUUGAAAAAACCACAUUGGAUUGCUUCUCCUGUUGUCAUUAUGGGGAUAACCACAAUUGUUCUCAAAGUUGCAGAGUAGAAUAACGUUGUUAACAAUGAUUUGCUAUAAUUUGGAGUAAAUUGUUCUUUGGCCACAUUAACAUUGUAUUUUCUUUUCUUCAGUCGCCUAUUUUACGUUGAAAUUCUAUUCUGCUUUCUACAAAAGUCUAUCAGCAUCAAUUUUAUAUGAGCACAACCCCCGCGUAGUUCAAGGACCUUCGGUUAAGGAACAAAAACGGUUGUUAUAAAGUCGAGUCAACACUAUUCUUCAACCCAAGAAAGCUUCUCCUUUUUGUUUGUGUGCGCAAUUCUAACUUAGGUUUGGCCUUUUGCAUUUUUUUAUUUAUUAAUUUUUAUAAUGGUGGUGUCUACUAUGUAUUUGCUAUCUCUCACCAAUACAUAUACCGAGUAACUCUGCUCACUAAGGCUUGUCAAAUGAAAAGAAAUCGCUUGGCGUUAUUUUUUAUUUCUAUUCGGAUUUGAACUUAUGAUAUUGUGGUUUUCCACCCACGUUAUUUAACUCAAAUCUUGUGUAGUACAUUUGUAUUGUUAAAUGGUAUUUCCACUCUCAUUAAAAAAGACAACAUUGAGCCGUAUCACAGUCAAGUAUUUAUCAAAAUCUUUAGGAAGUAGGUUAUGGGAAUAAAUUUUAUCGACACUUAUGUUAGCAAACUUACAACAACAACAACUCAGUAUAAUCUCACUUAGUAGGGUCUGAGGAGGGUAGUGCGUACGCAGACCUUAUCCCUACCCUUGGAUAGAGAGACUGUUUCCAAAUAAACCUGACAUCCUUCCCUCAAAGAACUUCCCACCUUGCUCUUGGGGAGACUCGAACUCACAACCUCUCGGUUGAAAGUGGGGAUUGCUUACCAUCAGAGCAACCCCUCUUGUCUCGUUAGCAAACUUCCAACAUACUCUCGAAAUUUUGUGUUCCUCUCAAAAAAAAAUUUUUUGAAUGGACAUGUUUGUAGCAGUCAGUUUAUAUCUGUGGGAACCUAAGAACUAUCAAAUGCAUCUUUAGCUUGAAGCUGCUUUAACAUUUGAAUUAUGCUCUGUUUUUUACCUCCUGAAUGAUCAUGUCUCUGCCCAGCUUCCUUCAUUUGAACCCACUCAACCUUUUUAAUUAUUUUUAAUUAAAUGGACAUAGUUAGAGUUUUUCUUUUCUUUUCUCAAUGAAAAAUAGACUAUACUCUUUAUUUGAUUUACGAGGGCCAGUUUCCAGGUUACGUUUUUUAUGCAUUAAUGGCUUUCUGGAAAAUGUGAUUGUUUUUUGUUUGACUACAGUAGUCAUGUUUCUUUAUUUAAGCCCGUGCCAGUUCUUAUAAAUUUGGGUGAGACAGACUUAAAUCCCAAGUUGUUGGGAAUUGAGGCACAUUUUGCAUAGAGCAAGCUCGAAUCAAUAAUUUUAUUUGUGACAGUUACCAGUUAAAUAGGCAAUUGGUUCAACUUAUGGGUGUUAAACGGGUGGCCGGGCCUGGCCGGACCUCUAUUUUUUGGAUCCGUACGGAUUACGGUCCGGGCUGGGUUCGGAUUGAUUCUUAACGGGUUUGACGGGUUCGGGUUCACCGGGGAAAAAUUGAACCGUAAGCGUUACGUAUUGAGGGGCCGGGUUUAUAGUAUUUUUUUUGGAAUUUUGUAUAACAAUUAUAAGUUAUAUUAAUAUAAAGUAUUAACAUAAAGAAUACAAGGAAGAUGAGAAAAAAAUACACUUAUUACAAGUGCUACAUUUAUUUCAUAAUUCAAAGCUUUAAACUUACAAAGUAAAAGUUUUACAUUUUUAACAAUAAGUAAAUUCAAAGGUUUUGCAUUGCCCUUGCAAAUUCUUCAUAAUCAAUAUGAACCGAUUGUCCUUCUUCUGGAGUAUUAUAUUUGGAUGGGUUACCAUGUGUUAAUAUAUCUCAAAGUUUCUCGUCUUUUGGUCUAUCAACAUCUUCACGUCCUUGAUUUCUUCGUUCCGAUCUAAUCCAAUCUCUGAAACAUACUAAAACUUCCAAAGCAUUGCUUUCCAAUGAGUGACGGGUGUCUCCAAGUUGUUGUUUUGCUUGGCUAAGUGCACUCUCCGAUGCAACGGUGGAAAUUGGCACAUUCAGCACAUCCCGAGCCAUAGCGAAAAGAACAGGAAAUUGCUUUCCAUUCUCAUGCCACCAUCCCAACGGUGAAAAUUCCUUUAUGCAAGGCUCUUUUUUCUUCUACAAGUAGAAUUGAAAUUCAUUAAUGUUCCUGCUACUGGUUUGAGUGUUAGAAAAUGUAGAAAUAAUAUUAAAACUAUCAAGGCCUUCUUCAUCAUCCACAGUAGCAGAAAUGGUACAGUGCAUAGUGGGAUUAACAUUGCCUACAACACGAGCAACAUCAUCAAUUACAUUUGCAUAAUAAUUAUAUAAUUGUUCUAAAUAAUCAUUUAGCUUGUUCAUGGAAAUAUAUAAAUCUGGGAUUCCAAUUGGUCCAAUCUCUAUAUAAGUAUAUAAAACAUUCAUUACUUGGCGACAAUCAGACAUCUUAAUAGAAGGAUUUAAAACAACACCAAUUAAGUAAAUCGGUGGAAUUGGAAAGAAAUAUUUUUUGAAUUUGUUUGUAUUUUUUCAACAACAUUCUUAUAUUUUUCUUUCUUCUUAAAUUCAAAUAAUAACGCCAUAGUAGCAGUAGGGUAAUGUACUCCAGAAAACUCAACUGUAGCUGUAUAAAAUUUAUGUAAAAAUUUAACAACAUCAUUAAUGACCUCCCAAGUACUAGUNNNNNNNNNNNNNNNNNNNNNNNNNNNNNNNNNNNNNNNNNNNNNNNNNNNNNNNNNNNNNNNNNNNNNNNNNNNNNNNNNNNNNNNNNNNNNNNNNNNNNNNNNNNNNNNNNNNNNNNNNNNNNNNNNNNNNNNNNNNNNNNNNNNNNNNNNNNNNNNNNNNNNNNNNNNNNNNNNNNNNNNNNNNNNNNNNNNNNNNNNNNNNNUGGACACACUUAUUCUUAAAUUCUUUUAUUCUAGAUUGUCUAUUAUUUCCUUGAAUAACACUAACUGCUCUUCUAACAUGAGUAAUCUCAGUUGAAAACAAACCUAGACCAGUUUUAACAAUUAAAUUAUAAAUAUGAUAUGCACACGUAACAUGAAAAAUGUUAUCAAGAGGUGGUUGCAAAUGCAGUUUAAGUUGAAAUUGUGGCGUUAUUGUUAGAAGCAUUAUCAAAAGACAUACACAAUACUUUUUACUUUAGAUUAUAAAAUCCAACAACUUCACAAAUAGUACUACUUAUAAGCGCAGAAGUAUGACUCUGCUCUUCAUCAUAUCUAAAAGCGAUAAUACGUUUUUGCAUACAAGUAGUAUCAUCUAUGCAAUGAUAUGUAAUUGUCAAAUAAUCAUUUCCAUUAACAACAUGACCAAUAUCAGAAGUUAGAGAAACUCUACAAGGAAUGUGGCUAAACAAAUGACGUAUGUAUGUUUGAUAUUGUCCAUGAAGUCUAAAGAUAUCAGCUCUAUAAGUACUUCUAGGAAUACCUUUAAAUAAAGAAUUUUAAAUCCUUUGAAUAUACAUAAAAAGAUAUGAUAAUGAAGAGCUCUAUAAGUACUUCUAGGGGUACCUUUAAAUAAAGGAUUGCCUCUACAAGAUAUCAGCUCUACAAGUACUUCUAGGGGUACCUUUAAAUAAAGGACUGUAAAUUCUCUGAAUAUACAUAAUAAGAUAUGAUGAAGAAGCAAAAAAAAAAAGGAAGACAACCCAGUUCUCAUAUGUCUAUUAAGUGUCCCAACCCCCCAAAUUUCCUCCAGUCAAAUGUUUAAAAUCACCGUUACAAAUUUUGCAUUUAACUCUAUCGGUACCUUCUAUUAUUUUAAAAAAAUUUCGAAUCUUACUUCUUUUCUAUGAUUAGUAGUCGAAGCCACAGAUGGUCUACUCUUAGUGCCACGACCACCACCCUUGUAGCAACUCCAACGGUUCCAGCUCCAGCACUAAUAGGUGUAGUUGGUAUCUCAUCCCGUAUUCCUAUUUCAUUAUCUUCUAUUCCAAAAUCUUCUUGUAAUUGUUCAUAAUCUAUAUCUAUAUUAUCAUUAGGCGAUGUUUCGAAAACAUGUGUAAAUGAUAAUGGAUUAUUACUUUUACUACCAGAUACUGAAGGACUAUCUCUUUUUUUUUAUUUUUCCGCUCUUUUGGCAGCACUAGACAUAUUGCAAAAAUUAAAGUAUAAGUUAAAAUUAAAUAUGAAAAUUAAAAUAGUAAAUAAGAGAAAGAGUUGGAGGGAGUGCACCGAAUUCGAUAAUGAAUUGAGCACUUGAUUAUGCAAUUCCGAUGUUACCACGAACAAACGUCAAGCAAGAAUUUCAAAUUUGAACUUUAAUUGUAACUUCAAAUUCCGAAUGAUAAAACACGAUAAAUUAAAUUCAAUAAAAGAGAGUCAAAUUAAAUUAGAAGAUGAAGUAAUUAAUUGAAGACUUGAAGUCUUGUAAAUUGGAGAAUGAGAGAAUGAGAGAAAGAGAGAAAUUGGGAUUGAGAAAUGAGUGUUGAGUGAAGAAAUGAAGAAGAGGGGAAAGGGGGAGGGGAGGGGGGGAGUAUAUAUAUCAUUAUUUGAGAGCACAUAUUGGCCGGCAGUGUCCCAUGAGGUCUUCAGCAACAUUAUUUAGCAUGGUGGAAAGCUAGAGAGAAUAAAUUCUAAACUAUGUCAUACCA